UUCUUGCUGGCUAAGCGUGUGGGUGUGCAGCAGGCAUUUGCUGGGGAACGUCAGCAAAAAAUAAAACUUCUCAAGCUUCACUCCUGUAGACAGAUUGAGAGGCCUCCCAACAGUUCAGAACUGCCGAAUCUGGAUCCGUCCGCCCACUUACCCCCCCAGGAAGUGGUAGGUUGAGUUCAAUGUGUUUGCAUUUAACAGUGGCCUAGCUUAUGGGACUUGACAUCAUAAUGGCAAUGUUUUAAGAUGAAUAAGUCAACAGGUGGUUUUUGGACCUCACUGCUCAUGGAGCACCAGGCUAGGCACUGACAAAAUUGAGGGGGAGGCCAUUCCUUCCGUGGGGAGGAAUCGAGGCUCGGGGCUGUGGCAGUUGGUCUGAAGGUCAAGAAGAGCAGGGGGCUCUCACUCACCCCAGACUCACAGGGAUGAGGAAGCGAGAAAGAGCCAUAAAGCGGGGAGGUCCGGGAGGGGCAAGCUGACAAGUGUGUGUUUAACUUCCCAGGAUUUCAAGUCCUGCAGCUAUUUGCCUAACCCAUGCUCACCAACCAUACUGCAGCCUCCACACUGUUUUAAUCUUGCCCUUCUGACCUCCAAGCACAUUUGCAGCCAGCAGAGAGCUGGGCAAACUCUAUCCCAAGCCAGCUGCAGCCUCCUCCCCAAGCCUCUCUCUCCCUCUGCGGGUGUGUCUCUCUCCCUGGCUGACUCCCACACGCCGUCUCCCUUGCCAUCUCUUAGAUACAGAACAUUUUUUUUUUUUCAUGGCUAAGUAGAAAAAUCCAAGCUCUCAGCCUUUUCUCAAAGCAAUAAUGAACAUAAUUGGUAGAAAUAAUCAAUACAAAACAAGAUUGACAACUUCUAACACUACAUACAGGGGGAAAAGGAUGACUUGACUGAAAAUUACCUGAAGAAUCAAAACUUGACAAAAUGUGGACCUGCAAAUCCGGGAACAGCUGGAUUUGGUAGAAAUACUGGCCACAAAGAGAAAAUCACAAAGGCAGAUGUUAUAACUGGUAAAACUUGGCCUGGACAAAAACCAGAUGGUGAAUCAAAUUUCAUUAUAAAAUUUAAACAGGAAAACAAUUGAUGCCAGUGAAGAUAAUUCCAAUAAACUUUAAUAAAAAAUGGUAAAACUGGAAACUAAUUGUGCUGUAGGGAAAACUAAUGAGUGAAUUUCUUUACUUAAUGACACUUGUUCUAGAAGUUACUUUCUUGGUAGAAAUCCAUCAAUGUUGGCAGAAUUCUGAUCACACUAUGUAAAGGCCAAACUUCCAUUAGCAUUUAAAUAACCAUCAGUAACUAUCAGGCCUCCCCAGAAGCAGCAAAGUGGGAGCUAAAUUGCCACUCCAGGAUGGGGCCUGGGAAUCUGUAUUUCAAAAAGAAUGUUUCAAACAAGCCAUCUGUUAAAAAAUAUAUUGGGGGGUGGUGACUAAGGAAGUUUGAACAUGGAAGGAUAUUAAAUAGUGCUAAGAAAUUGUUUCUAUUAUUUUUAGGCCUAACGAUGUUAUGAUAUGAGGUCAUGUUUCUUAAACAUGGACAGAAUUGUCUUUCCCCCCAAAUUCAUUAUGUUGAAGCCCUAACCCCUAAUGUGACUGUAUUUGGAGACAGGUCCCUUAAAGAUCAAAUCAAGGUUAAGUGAGGCCAUAAGGGUGGGGCCCCGGUCCCACAGGACUGGGGUCCUUAUGAGGAGGAGGCGACACCGUGAGUGCACGCGUAGAGAAAGGGCCACGUGAGCAUGCCAAAAAGCCCAGAGGCCUCAGGAGAAGCCAAACCUGCCAGCACCUUGAUCUUAGAUGUCCAGCCUCCAGAACGGUGAGAAAACAAAUUUCCAUUGCCGAGGUCACUGAGGUUACGGCAUUUUGUUUUGGCAGCCCUGGCUAACCAAGGCAAGUCUUUACAUAGUAGAGAUCCCUACUGAAUUAUUUAUGAGUGGAGCACUAUGAUGUCUGAGAUCUGCUUUAGAAUACUCCAGAAAUAAAAAUAGAGAGCUGGUGGGGGGAUAGAUGAAACAAGAUGGGCUAAAAAUGGACAAUUACCAGAGCUGAGUAACAGGUACACAGAGGUUUAUCAUACUCUCCUCUUCUACCGUAGGGCAUGUUUAAAAAUAUUCAAAGAAGUUUUAAAAAUUGACUUGGAUCAUUGUAAGGUGAUUUUGAUGCACACAAGUAGAUGAUUACCGAAAGGGGUUCUCAUUAACUUGUGUUCUAACCUGGGUUGGUAUGACCUGGAAUAAAUGUGUCACUAACACUUAUCUAUAAAUAAAGUUUUAACUAAAUAUAAUAAGGCAGUAGGGAAAGGAAUCAAAAUGUCAACUGCAGGCAGUGGGAUUGUUGGUGAGGGAAAUCAGGCAGGGAAGAGGGAAUCAGCAUUUAUUGAGCAGCUAAUGAAUCCUGGGUGCUUCGUAGCUGUUAACUUUGGAUGCUCACAUUGGUUUUACAUUUUAAAAUCUUUUUAUUAUCAAGCUAUUAUAUGAAGAAACUAAGGCCCAGAGAGGAUGAAUGAAUUCACAUACUACAGAGUGACUGACUCAGCUGGGAGUUGAAUCCUAUCCAUCUUCCUCCCAAGUGUGCAUUCUUUUCCCUAGCCGUUACCUUGAAGAAGGAAAUGGACCCCACUCCAGUACUCUUGCCUGGAAAAUCCCAUGGACGGAGGAGUCUGGUGGGCCACAGUCCAUGGGGUCGCUGGGGGUCGGACACGACUGAGCGCCUGCACUUUCACUUUACCUCCUCCCUGGAUAUUGCCAAGUGACAGAUCACAAAGGGCAGAGGAAUUCUGACGAAGAUGAGGUCAUGAAGAGAUACGCCCAGGACAGACUAACGAAGGACUUGAACUCAGAGGUAGGUCCUGGAGGUGGAGUGGAAGGGCAUCCCUGGAUUGCGGAGGGACGGCCAGAGGAGGAGCCUGGCGGCACAUGGAGAUGGAGAGGGCUCCGCAGCUCCUGGGAGAGAGGCUGGGGGCAGGGUGGGGGCGUGGGCCUGCAGGGAUGCUGUCCCAGGACUGGGGCCCAGCAAGACUGGUGAGAAGAGCAGAUUUCAGAAUGAGGCGGGAAGAUGAGGCCUCCAUCGACAGGUGAGGGAAGUCAGGAGGAGGCUGUUCCAGGUGGGGAGGAGAAAGGGCUCAAUUCAGGUUGGACGUGCAGAAUUGGGGACGACUGCGGAACAGCCGAGUGAAGAAGGCCCGAUGGCAGCUGGGGUGACAGAAUGUUGGAUUUGAAAAGUCAUCUGACCUGCUUCUUCUUUCAAGAAAUGUGAAACCUGGGGACUUCCCUGGUGGCCCAGUGGUUGAGAAUCUGCCUUCCAAUUCAGGAGACACAGGUCUGAUCCCUGGUCACUGCACUAAGAUCCCACAUGCCUUGGGCAACCAGCCUGUUUGCCGCAAUUACGUGCCUCACAAGUAGAAGCCCUCAAGCCAAAACGAAAGACCCCACGUGGCGCAACUAAGAUCCGAUGUGGCUAAAUGAAUAAACAAAUAUAUUUUUAAAAGAAGAAAGAAAGGAGAAUCUAGGAAGUAAUCAGGGAGUGCCCUGGGAUACACAGAAGAUUUUGGCUCCUUAAUCUAGCUUAUAUCACGCUACAGAAUGUAACCGUCCAUUCUUUGCUCUCCUGUAUGUUCCAGCAGAGUAUUGGGGAUUCAGCGGAGGUAGGGAGAUGCCUUUUGACUGGUCUUCCUCCUUCCGCCCUGCUAUCCCCUCCAAUUGUUUUUUUCUCAGGCAGUAGCCAUUAGAGUUGCUCUGCUACCUGGAAUAGUCUGUGUAAAUGGGCUAAAUGUAAAAGGAACUUUCUGGAUGCUGAUGGAAUGCAUACCCUGUGCAGUUAUGUAAGACGCAGGCCUGAGAAAGCGAUCCUAUAAAAAGGAUCCGGCCCUCCUCUGCUGCCUGAACACACGAGCCACACCCUAGCCUGAGAACACGUGCACAGGCGCCGCCCUCUCCCUAGAAAGCUCUUCUGAUGCUGUUUUUGUGUGUGUGUGUGGUGCUUUAUUAUUUGUUUCUUUUUAAUGUAGUAGGCAUUUUAACUUAAAAAAAAAUUGACCGUCCGCUCUCAUUGGAAUGGAAACUCGACAAGGGCAGGGCUCUGUGUCCUGUCUGUUUAUGGCUAUAAAAACAGUGCCUGGCACACAGCAGGCACUCAGUGAGUGAAUUACAGCAUAACAGGGCGACAGGCUAAAAUAAAGACCUGGACGAAAUUGCCGUGGAAUUUAAAAGGGGCACCAAUCCCACCUCCCUGACAGUGUCAGGGCAAGAUUCCCGAAGAGGUGACCAUCGAGCUGGGACUUGAAAGAGAGCAAUCAGCUCUAGGAAGCAGCAGAUUUGAUCAGUCAUUCUUCCCUGAACAAGAGGCCAGCUGCUCUGGGAAGCCUACCCUACUAAGUGUUCUUUGCAUUUCUCCUUGAAUGCCUUCAACAACAGGGAUUCAUUACCAUCUUACAAACGUCUAUCGAGCAGAUGCUGGGCCCUGCAAAUCCUGACGGGACCAAGAGAAGAAGCUCAACAUGGACAAGGGAGCUGACUCCGGGGGAGUGUGAUGAGAAGUGGGCAGAGAUGGAGACAGGCAAAGUGCCAAGCUCCUGGACUGAAGCCUGGGAGGCUGCUGGUUUGACCUCUGACGCUCUCUGCCACAGUGGGUGUUUCCCCUUCAGGAUACACUCUCCUCCCUCGGCUCCAGGACGCGGCUAUCUCCUGGUUCUCCUCCCGCCUUGCUCGCGGCGCUUCCUUAGACUUAUUUACCGGCUUCUCUUCAUAACCUCCAAUGUCACAGUAUCCCAGGUCCCAGUCCCUGGACCCCUUCUCUUCCCUACCUGCCCUCCUCAGUGGUGAUUUAUCCAGUGUCAUGGUUGUCGAUCACCCCUUUCCAGCUUUGACCCCGCCUCUAAACUCCAGUCUCCUUUAUCCAGUUGCCUAUUUGAAAACCCUACCGGACAGCUAGUAGGUAAGUCAGCUCACCACGCUGAACCUCUGGCCUUCUGUCCUCUACAACUGGUUUCUCCUUCAUCCCCCCAUCCCAGGCAACACAACUCUAGCCUUCUAGUUGUUCAGGGGCUCAAAACCUAUAAGGCAUUCUUGAGUUCUCUCUUUUUUUCAUCCCCCAGAUCCAAUCAAUUGGCCAAGAUUGUGGACUCUACCUUCAAAACACUCCACAUGUAACCACGUCUUAGCUCCUCCACUAUCUUUUCUAUGGACUUAGCCAUCAUCAUUUCUCACCUGGAUAUUUCAAUAGUCUCCUAAUAAGUCUCCCACCCCAACUGUUCAUCCCCAUCCCAUCACCUGCAAUCUAAUCUCAACAUAGCAGCCAGAUCAAUCCUGUUGAGAACAUUUUAAAGCUCAUUUCAUUUACCUCAUAGAAAUUUCAUGCAUAUUACAGUGUUUGGCAUAUGCCAUACUGUUGCAUUUAAAUUUACAGGCUAUUUAUUCUACCACAUGAUAUCAUGAUGUCUAAUAAAGACAUACCAUGGAGACAUUGUAGAUUCAGUUCCAGACCACUGCAAUAAAGUGAAUAUUUCAAUAAAGUGAGUCACACAAAUUUUUUUUUGUUUCCCAGUACAUAGAAGAGUUAUCUUAACACUAUACUGUAGCAUUUUAAGUGUGCAACCGCAUUAUCUCUUAAAAAAUGUACAUGCCUUAAUUUAAAAGUAUUUUAUUGCUGAAAAAUGCUAACCAUCAUCUGAGCUUUCAGAGAGUUGUAAUCUUUUUGCUGGUGGAGGAUCUGGCCUCAGUGACUGUUAACUGAUCAGGGUGGUACUUGCUGACAGCCUGAAUGGCUGUGGCAAUUUCUUAGACAACAAUUAAACAACAAUAAAUUUUGCCACAUCA
This is a long non-coding RNA of Bubalus bubalis (water buffalo), 5803 nucleotides long. RefSeq lists it as uncharacterized. NCBI's taxonomy places the organism in Eukaryota, Metazoa, Chordata, Mammalia, Artiodactyla, Bovidae. The transcript is spliced from 3 exons. The record is from RefSeq and is a predicted model, not a curated record.